RNAcentral lists this ribosomal RNA (310 nucleotides) under uncultured fungus. RNAcentral describes it as "SSU rRNA". It matches the Rfam family "Eukaryotic small subunit ribosomal RNA", at positions 39 to 352 of the family's 1831-position model. The record is from RNAcentral. RNAcentral also lists the same sequence under 1 other name. Lineage: Eukaryota; Fungi.
AAAGAUUAAGCCAUGCAUGUCUAAGUAUAAGCACUUUAUACUGUGAAACUGCGAAUGGCUCAUUAAAUCAGUUAUCGUUUAUUUGAUAGUACCUUACUACAUGGAUACCUGUGGUAAUUCUAGAGCUAAUACAUGCUAAAAACCUCGACUUCGGAAGGGGUGUAUUUAUUAGAUAAAAAACCAAUGCCCUUCGGGGCUCCUUGGUGAUUCAUAAUAACUUAACGAAUCGCAUGGCCUUGCGCCGGCGAUGGUUCAUUCAAAUUUCUGCCCUAUCAACUUUCGAUGGUAGGAUAGUGGCCUACCAUGGUGG